UGGGGAAUAUUGGACAAUGGGGGCAACCCUGAUCCAGCGAUGCCGCGUGUGCGAAGAAGGCCUGCGGGUUGUAAAGCACUUUGGUGGGGGAAGAAGUGAUUUGGUUGAAUAGGCUGAAUUAUUGACGUUACCCCAAGAACAAGCACCGGCUAACUCUGUGCCAGCAGCCGCGGUAAUACAGAGGGUGCGAGCGUUAAUCGGAAUUACUGGGCGUAAAGGGCGCGUAGGCGGUUUAUUAAGUUAGAUGUGAAAAUUCUGGGCUUAACCUAGAACGUGCAUUUAAGACUGAUGAGCUAGAGUAUUGUAGAGGGAAGUGGAAUUUCCGGUGUAGCGGUGAAAUGCGUAGAUAUCGGAAAGAACAUCAGUGGCGAAGGCGGCUUCCUGGACAAAUACUGACGCUGAGGCGCGAAAGCAUGGGUAGCAAACAG
RNAcentral lists this ribosomal RNA (428 nucleotides) under uncultured bacterium. RNAcentral's name for it is "bacterial SSU rRNA". It matches the Rfam family "Bacterial small subunit ribosomal RNA", at positions 355 to 775 of the family's 1533-position model. The record is from RNAcentral.